CCCUUAGAUGUUCUGGGCCGCACACGCGCUACACUGAAGGAGGCAGCGUGUACUCCUGGAUCGAAAGAUUUGGGUAACCCGCGAAUCUCCUUCGUGCUAGGGAUUGAGGUUUGCAAUUAUCCUUCAUGAACGAGGAAUUCCUAGUAAACGCAAGUCAUCAGCUUGCAUUGAUUACGUCCCUGCCCUUUGUACACACCGCCCGUCGCACCUACCGAUUGAAUGGUCCGGUGAAAUCUCGGGACGGCGGCUUGGUCGCUUGCGUCCGACUGCUGAAACUUGAUUAAACCAUAUCAUUUAGAGGAAGGUGAAGUCGUANCA
RNAcentral lists this ribosomal RNA (318 nucleotides) under uncultured eukaryote. Its description in RNAcentral is "partial 18S ribosomal RNA". It matches the Rfam family "Eukaryotic small subunit ribosomal RNA", at positions 1470 to 1796 of the family's 1831-position model. The record is from RNAcentral.